RNAcentral lists this ribosomal RNA (257 nucleotides) under uncultured bacterium. RNAcentral's name for it is "partial 16S ribosomal RNA". It matches the Rfam family "Bacterial small subunit ribosomal RNA", at positions 524 to 776 of the family's 1533-position model. The record is from RNAcentral.
UACGUAGGGUGCGAGGCGUUGUCCGGAAUUAUUGGGCGUAAAGAGCUUGUAGGUGGUUUGUCGCGUCUGCUGUGAAAAUCCCGAGGCUCAACCUCGGACUUGCAGUGGGUACGGGCAGACUAGAGUGUGGUAGGGGAGACUGGAAUUCCUGGUGUAGCGGUGGAAUGCGCAGAUAUCAGGAGGAACACCGAUGGCGAAGGCAGGUCUCUGGGCCAUUACUGACACUGGAGAAGCGGAAAGCAUGGGGAGCGAACAGG